UUCAAGGCUACUGAGUUUCUCAAAUUAAUAAAGUUUAAUUAUUUAUAUACAAAUAAUUAUCAUUGGUUCACUAAACUCAGCCCGCUCCUCUCCAUUUUGUGAGUUCGCCUGCUACUGUGUUAUUUUGGUCAGACACCGAAAGGGUGCGAAGCGGAGAAAUCAAAUUCACUAAAUUGUCAGAACUGACAUUACCUUUCAUAACGUUCGGCUUUGGAAAAGUGUAUGACUGCAUGUUGGAACUCCUCAAUCAGCUGGGUCAAUUUGCAAUAGAUGUAUACAAUAUGGAUUGGUCUCUAUUUUUGACCAAUCCAUAUGUGACUGGUGUUACACUGGGUGUUAUUAUUUUCAUCCCAUUUGGCGAAGGACCACAGGUACCGAUUAAAUCAACCUCUGCGAAGAAGGAAGAGGACUAGUGAUUCAUGUAUUCUUAGAUACCUAGUAGAGCAUUUCUUUUCGGUUUGGUUGAUCAUUUCGUGCCGGUAAAUUUAGGGCGGGAAACAUUUUUUGGUCUGGUGUUGGACAGAAAGUUUCAACAAAG
Long non-coding RNA from Photinus pyralis (common eastern firefly), 538 nucleotides. RefSeq lists it as uncharacterized. NCBI's taxonomy places the organism in Eukaryota, Metazoa, Arthropoda, Insecta, Coleoptera, Lampyridae. The record is from RefSeq and is a predicted model, not a curated record. The transcript has 3 exons.